AUUGAACGCUGGCGGCAGGCUUAACACAUGCAAGUCGAGCGGGGUGAUGGUGCUUGCACUAUCACUUAGCGGCGGACGGGUGAGUAAUGCUUAGGAAUCUGCCUAUUAGUGGGGGACAACAUCUCGAAAGGGAUGCUAACACCGCAUACGUCCUACGGGAGAAAGCAGGGGAUCACUUGUGACCUUGCGCUAAUAGAUGAGCCUCAGUCGGAUUAGCUAGUUGGUGGGGUAAAGGCCUACCAAGGCGACGAUCUGUAGCGGGUCUGAGAGGAUGAUCCGCCACACUGGGACUGAGACACGGCCCAGACUCCUACGGGAGGCAGAAGUGGGGAAUAUUGGACAAUGGGGGGAACCCUGAUCCAGCCAUGCCGCGUGUGUGAAGAAGGCCUUAUGGUUGUAAAGCACUUUAAGCGAGGAGGAGGCUCUUUUGGUUAAUACCCAAGAUGAGUGGACGUUACUCGCAGAAUAAGCACCGGCUAACUCUGUGCCAGCCGCCGCCGUAA
This 503-nucleotide ribosomal RNA is filed under the name uncultured bacterium. RNAcentral describes it as "partial 16S ribosomal RNA". It matches the Rfam family "Bacterial small subunit ribosomal RNA", at positions 30 to 523 of the family's 1533-position model. The record is from RNAcentral.